UUUUUCUGCCUUUUCUAAAUUUCCUCUAAAAACACAUACGGUACUUUUACAAUUAGGAAUAAAACCCUUGUUUUCAAAUGAAUUUCCCCAAAUGUCAAUUCUUAAGUCAUGAACGAUUUUAUUUCUUGUCAGGAUGAAGCAAAGGAGGACAUGCAUGUCUUGCAAGGGAGAAAAAAAGGCAUCGAGAGAGACAGCACGCAAUAAACACCUAAUUUUGUUUCUGAUCUCGUGCCUGUUUGAAGAGCUCACACUUGUUCUGACUCAGCUGGAGAAGUCAGCUCCUCUGACCCAGUCACAGUUUCCACCAGCUGUUUUGGAUGUUUGAGUGAGGUUUUUGUUGCAGUGAACCCCGCUGCCUACCCCUUGAGCCAGCUCAGGAACAAUUGUAAAGGAAGUCUCUGAGGCCGACACAGAGGAGGCCUGCUCAUCUCAUGACAUCCACAAGGAUUUGAGAGGCAGCCCCUUCUGGGCUGUUUCUGUUUUUCUUCUCUGGCAGGUCUCUUGAUGUCAGAGAGAUGGGCCAUCUCUCGGGUCUGGGGGUUUGGAUGGAGAGUCCGUGACCGCAGCUGUGCCCAGUCAUUCUGAUUGACCUCUUGGAAGGCGACGACUGCAUGUCAGUACGAAGAUGUGCGUGCUGAACCCUGAGCUGGGAAACUUUGGUUUUUGCUCUUGAGGCCUUCCAGCGAUUGGAUGAGAGCCGCUGUGUUAUCAAGGUGGAGAACAACUUGGUUGGAAAGGAUACUCAUCAAUCAAUAUGAAGAAAAAAGGAAGCUGUUGUAGGAAUCCAGCCCAUUAUAGGUUGCGACAUGCAGGUGAAAAUAACAAGGUCCGCUCAGGAGAGGGGUUCUGGAGGCGAGCCAUACCCCCGCAGGAGAGCUUGCUUUAGCUACAGGUCUAGACCUCACUACAUGACAUCAUCUCCCGUCUACUGUGACCUGUGAUGUCAGUUGAAUAUCCAGCCAUAAAAGGACGCAGAAGCAGCCAGCAAAUGGGAGGACUUUCCCCUCAUUUCACAAAAUUCUACCAACAUGUACGGAAGCACAAGUCCAUGAGCACAUACACGGUGAAUUCCCACUGGCCUGUGAUUAUGUUCCCACCUCCACUGACUACCCAAACUGAUUUCUAAUUGAUUUUGGAAUACAUUUCAAAUUACUCUACCUCCUGGUAUGCAUUUAGCAUAACCUCAUAUUCCUAUUUUAGCACGUUCUGAUAGAAUCAGAGGACUGGAUCAUAAUGAAGGGGACUGACUGAAGAAGUGGCCUGACAUAUUUAAAGUAACCAUGGAAAUGUACAAAAGAGAUGAUUGAUAGUAAGAUAAUGAGACCAUGCAAAUAUUUUCUUUUCAUUGUCUUCUUUAGCCUAAUUAAUUCCUUUCUAAUGACUGUUUAAUCUUAUAUGCAUUUCCAAGUAAUUCCACUAUGGUUUUUCUCGUUGAUUUUUCACAAUGACUAAAUGUGCUAAGUGAAAUAUUCUUAAUUUUUCUGGGGCAGGAGUGUAGACCUUGGGAAUAUUUCAACUUUUUUUAGUAACUGAUAACUUUUCCGACUUACAGAUCAGGGUUGAGUUGGUGACAAUUUUUUAAGAAAUUGACUUUCUUGAAAGAAAAUAAAAGCUGACUCUGAGCAAGUCUCAAGACUUGAGAAAUUUGAGUUUUAGCUGUAUUUUUUUUGUCAGUAGAUAACUUUUAGCAAAUCAACUCAGACAUACAAAGAAAAUAUAGAGUUGGUUUAAGCAAGGCAUCAACAAAAACACAAAUACAGAAAAGGCAAAUUGCAUCUCCAUAAAUAAACAUAUCUGGGGUCUGGUAAGUCUGUCCAGCCCACAACAGAUAGAAAUAUGGGUUAUGUUUUGUGAAGCAGGUUCUAAUUCUAGAAUUUUGGCUACAUGUUCUUUAUUCCUUAUACCUGUUUUCAAAGGACCAUGCCGUUAGUAUCCACAUAUUUUUUGUUAAAAAUGUAUUGAUGUGUAUUUGCAAUACCCUUGAGACAGAUACCAAAAUGUUAACAUUGGUAUCAAUACAAAGUAACAUAAAUGCUCUAAAGGAAAGAAUGAGAGAAAAGAAAGAAGAAAAAUCAUCUCAUGUCUGUAUUAUUUCAUCAUUAAAGUAGAGUUACAUUAAAAGUAGAGAAAAGAAAGGUGUGCAUGUACAUACAUAUAUAAAAAGGCAUUCACACUUAUCUCAAAAACAUGCCAAAUCUCCAUUUAAAUUCCAUGGUGUUUAUUAUUUUGAACCCAUCUGAAAUUUCUUCUUACUGAGAUGUUUGGACUAGGCACGUGUAAUUUGAGUAGUUGUGGGCAUUUGUCUAGUAGGAAAUUUUCAGCCAUUAAUAUAAUGUAAUUUAAUUUAAUUUCUACUGAAACAUAAAAUUCUAUACUUUUCUGCAAACUCAAAACUAGGCUCUAUGUCUACUGUGAUAUGAGGGAUUGCCUAAAAUGGUUUUCUCUUACUAAAACCUUUCUUAUACUUUGAGAACCAUUUAAAUAUAUAUUGGGCUAAAGUUGGUCUUAUGAAACCAGUCCCAUUAUUUUUUAUAGGCCACAUAUUAUAACUGUGAAUAUUGUUUCUAAAAAAGAAAAAAUAGUC
Long non-coding RNA from Manis pentadactyla (Chinese pangolin), 2584 nucleotides. RefSeq lists it as uncharacterized. The transcript is spliced from 4 exons. Lineage: Eukaryota; Metazoa; Chordata; Mammalia; Pholidota; Manidae. The record is from RefSeq and is a predicted model, not a curated record.